GAUGAAGAACGCAGCGAAAUGCGAUAACUAAUGUGAAUUGCAGAAUUCCGUGAAUCAUCGAGUCUUUGAACGCACAUUGCGACCCCUGGUAUUCCGGGGGGCAUGCCUGUCCGAGCGUCAUUACAACCCUCAAGCCCGGCUUGUGUAAUGGGCGGCCGUCUCUCCCCCCGGGGGGAGACGCCCCCGAAACUCAGUGGGGAUGUCGCGAUACCGAAGCCUCAGCUAAUGGGUAAACCACAGCUGCAAUGGCCGCGGCCGGCGUCCGCCUUCCACGGUCCGUCCGCCUAGCGCGGGCGGCCUUCUCAAGGUUGACCUCGGAUCAGGUAGGGAUACCCGCUGAACUUAAGCAUAUCAAUAAGCGGAGGA
This 366-nucleotide unclassified non-coding RNA is filed under the name soil metagenome. RNAcentral's name for it is "partial contains 5.8S ribosomal RNA, internal transcribed spacer 2, and large subunit ribosomal RNA". The stretch from base 1 to 120 matches the Rfam family "5.8S ribosomal RNA", at positions 35 to 154 of the family's 154-position model. The record is from RNAcentral.